CGGGGGGAGCAAGCGUUGUUCGGAUUUACUGGGCGUAAAGGGCGCGUAGGCGGCCACCGCAAGUCGACUGUGAAAUCUCCGGGCUUGACCCGGAAAGGUCAGCCGAUACUGCGGGGCUAGAGUGCAGAAGGGGCAACUGGAAUUCUCGGUGUAGCGGUGAAAUGCGUAGAUAUCGAGAGGAACACCUGCGGCGAAGGCGGGUUGCUGGGCUGACACUGACGCUGAGGCGCGAAAGCUAGGGGAGCGAACGGGAUUAGAUACCCCGGUAGCCCUAGCCUUAAACGAUGAAUGCUUGGUGUCUGGGGUUUUAUAGUCCCCGGGUGCCGUCGCUAACGCUUUAAGCAUUCCGCCUGGGGAGUACGGUCGCAAGACUG
Molecule: ribosomal RNA, 374 nt
Filed under: uncultured organism
Description: bacterial SSU rRNA
Rfam family: Bacterial small subunit ribosomal RNA
Source: RNAcentral